RNAcentral lists this ribosomal RNA (253 nucleotides) under uncultured bacterium. Its description in RNAcentral is "partial 16S ribosomal RNA". It matches the Rfam family "Bacterial small subunit ribosomal RNA", at positions 524 to 776 of the family's 1533-position model. The record is from RNAcentral.
UACGGAGGGGGCUAGCGUUGUUCGGAAUUACUGGGCGUAAAGCGCACGUAGGCGGCUUUGCAAGUUAGAGGUGAAAGCCCAGGGCUUAACCCUGGAAUUGCCUUUAAAACUGCAUCGCUAGAAUUGUGGAGAGGUAAGUGGAAUUCCGAGUGUAGAGGUGAAAUUCGUAGAUAUUGGGAAGAACACCGGUGGCGAAGGCGGCGACCUGGUCCUUAACUGACGCUGAGGCGCGAAAGCGUGGGGAGCAAACAGG